This 457-nucleotide long non-coding RNA is filed under the name Struthio camelus australis. Its description in RNAcentral is "lncRNA (ENSSCUG00000015029.1)". The record is from RNAcentral. Lineage: Eukaryota; Metazoa; Chordata; Aves; Struthioniformes; Struthionidae.
CUGAAAUUGAUUUCUCAAAAUCAGAAUCAGAUCUCUAAUAUUCUACUACAAUCUCAUGAAAAUGUGCGAGACAUGGCAAACCUAGUGUGCCAGCAACAUGGACUGCUAACUGAAAUCGUGCACAUGGACAGAUUUAUAUUUCCUAAUAAAAUAUCUAAAUAAUCUACUGAGAUGGGCAAGUAUUUUUAAUUUUAUUGUUAGGAAACAAAGUGUAGGACCACUUCUCUCUGAACCAUCGAUAGAGCUUACUGAAGGUCAAGGAACUUGAAGAAGGUAUUUGGGGAACAUGAAGACCGUAUUUAUGGCAACGCAGCUAGCAGGGAGUUUGCAAUCCCAAAUCCUAUCUAAAGUCUCACUUCCAGAGCCUCAGAAGAGGAGGAGUCUAGGUGAAGUCAAAGACCAAGCCCUUAGAUACCAAUGGAGUCUUGUAGAACUUUCUAGUCUACCCUCAGACUGA